RNAcentral lists this ribosomal RNA (467 nucleotides) under uncultured bacterium. RNAcentral's name for it is "partial 16S ribosomal RNA". It matches the Rfam family "Bacterial small subunit ribosomal RNA", at positions 28 to 506 of the family's 1533-position model. The record is from RNAcentral.
GACGAACGCUGGCGGCGUGCUUAACACAUGCAAGUCGAACGGAAAGGCCCUGCUUUUGUGGGGUGCUCGAGUGGCGAACGGGUGAGUAACACGUGAGUAACCUGCCCUUGACUUUGGGAUAACUUCAGGAAACUGGGGCUAAUACCGGAUAGGAGCUCCUGCUGCAUGGUGGGGGUUGGAAAGUUUCGGCGGUUGGGGAUGGACUCGCGGCUUAUCAGCUUGUUGGUGGGGUAGUGGCUUACCAAGGCUUUGACGGGUAGCCGGCCUGGGAGGGUGACCGGCCACAUUGGGCCUGAGAUGCGGCCCAGACUCCUUCGGGAGGCAGCAGUGGGGACUAUUGCACAAUGGGCGGAGGCCGGAUGCAGCAACGCCGCGUGCGGGAUGACGGCCUUCGGGUUGUAAACCGCUUUCGCCUGUGACGAAGCGUGAGUGACGGUAAUGGGUAAAGAAGCACCGGCUACCUACGU